UUGGAGGGCAAGUCUGGUGCCAGCAGCCGCGGUAAUUCCAGCUCCAAUAGCGUAUAUUAAAGUUGUUGCAGUUAAAAAGCUCGUAGUUGAAUUUCGAGACCGGCUUACUGGUCGUGCUAUUGUACGUACUGGUAUAAUCGGUUUCUCCUUUCUGACGAACUAUAAUGCCAUUAAUUUGGUGUUUUAGGGAAUCAGGACUGUUACUUUGAAAAAAUUAGAGUGUUUAAAGCAGGCUCACGCUUGAAUACAUUAGCAUGGAAUAACGGAAUAGGACGUUUGAUUCUAUUUUGUUGGUUUCUAGGAUCGACGUAAUGAUUAAUAGGGAUAGUUGGGGGCAUUAGUAUUCAAUUGUCAGAGGUGAAAUUCUUGGAUUUAUUGAAGACUAACUACUGCGAAAGCAUUUGCCAAGGAUGUUUUCAUUAAUCAAGAACGAAAGUUAGGGGAUCGAAGACGAUCAGAUACCGUCGUAGUCUUAACCAUAAACUAUGCCGACUAGGGAUCGGAUGAUGUUAAUUUUAUAAUGACUCAUUCGGCGCCUUACGGGAAAC
Molecule: ribosomal RNA, 548 nt
Filed under: uncultured Glomus
Lineage: Eukaryota; Fungi; Glomeromycota; Glomeromycetes; Glomerales; Glomeraceae
Description: SSU rRNA
Rfam family: Eukaryotic small subunit ribosomal RNA
Source: RNAcentral